CAUAGAAAAAAGCAAAAUUGUUGUAAAGCAAUGACGCAAAACUAUAGGGUCCAUUUUGGACAGCCAGUUGCCAAU
RNAcentral lists this non-coding RNA (75 nucleotides) under Firmicutes bacterium CAG:345. RNAcentral's name for it is "c-di-GMP-I riboswitch aptamer". It matches the Rfam family "c-di-GMP-I riboswitch aptamer". From Rfam's summary of the family: GEMM was predicted in a large-scale screen for bacterial structured RNA regulatory elements. Genes associated with GEMM are involved in a diverse array of functions, including chemotaxis regulation, signal transduction, secretion and chitin. RNAcentral also lists the same sequence under 1 other name. The record is from Rfam by way of RNAcentral. Lineage: Bacteria; Bacillati; Bacillota.